AGAGUUUGGAUCCUGGCUCAGAAUCAACGCUGGCGGCGUGCCUAACACAUGCAAGUCGAACGAGAAAGGGAUCCUUCGGGAACCUGAGUAAAGUGGCGAACGGGUGAGUAACACGUGGGUGACCUGCCCUCUGGAGGGGGAUAACCCGAGGAAACUCGGGCUAAGACCGCAUAAGCCUUCGAGGUCAAAUUCGAAGGGAAAAGGAUUUAGCUUUCGAGCUAGAUCUUACCGGAGGAGGGGCCCGCGUCCCAUUAGCUAGUUGGUGGGGUAAAAGCCUACCAAGGCUACGAUGGGUAGCCGGUCUGAGAGGACGGACGGCCACACUGGAACUGAGACACGGUCCAGACUCCUACGGGAGGCAGCAGUGGGGAAUUUUGGACAAUGGGCGAAAGCCUGAUCCAGCAACGCCGCGUGGAGGAUGAAGGCCCUCGGGUCGUAAACUCCUGUCCUAGGGGAAGAAAAAAAUGACGGUACCCUUGGAGGAAGCCCCGGCUAACUCCGUGCCAGCAGCCGCGGUAAGACGGGGGGGGCGAGCGUUGUUCGGAAUUACUGGGCGUAAAGGGCGCGCAGGCGGCUUGGGAAGUCUUGGGUGAAAGCCCCCAGCUCAACUGGGGAAUGGCCUGAGAAACCACUAGGCUGGAGUGCUGGAGAGGGAAGCGGAAUUCCCGGUGGAGCGGUGAAAUGCGUAGAUAUCGGGAG
Molecule: ribosomal RNA, 699 nt
Filed under: uncultured bacterium
Lineage: Bacteria
Description: bacterial SSU rRNA
Rfam family: Bacterial small subunit ribosomal RNA
Source: RNAcentral